GCGCAGGGGUAAGCAUGGGAAUUGCGUUUGCUGAUGUGGAACAAGAGAACAAGGAGGAAAUUGUAGGUCUGCACACUAAGAAAUUGAUGAAGAACUUGAGAAUGUGCGAGGACGUCAUGAGGCUUUCAAGCUGAUCAGUAAGACUGUGGAGAGAGAAUUUGAUGUGAGAGAGACUAAAAGAUUUCAUCAUGGGUUUUUUUUUUUUUUUUUUUUUUUGGGGGGGGGUGGGUUGUUUUUUUGGUUUAAAAAACAAAACAAAAAAAAAAACCAAAAAAAACCCNNAACACAAGGAAUUGCCAUGGGAGAGCAAUUGCUUUUAAUACAAAGUAACUGUUAAUCUAAU
Molecule: unclassified non-coding RNA, 343 nt
Filed under: Hevea brasiliensis (rubber tree)
Lineage: Eukaryota; Viridiplantae; Streptophyta; Magnoliopsida; Malpighiales; Euphorbiaceae
Source: RNAcentral